GAUGAAGAGCGCAGCGAAAUGCGAUAAGUAAUGUGAAUUGCAGAAUUCAGUGAAUCAUCGAAUCUUUGAACGCACAUUGCGCCCCUCGGUAUUCCGAGGGGCAUGCCUGUUCGAGCGUCAUUAUAACCCUUCAAGCUCAGCUUGGUGUUGGGGCCUGCUGUAACUGGUAGCCCUUAAAAUCAGUGGCAGUGCUAUUAGGCUCUAAGCGUAGUAAUUCUUCUCGCUAUAGUGUGUAGUGAGCGCUUGCCAGAACCCCAAACUUUUAUAUGAUUGACCUCGGAUCAGGUAGGGAUACCCGCUGAACUUAAGCAUAUCAAUAAGCGGAGGA
Molecule: unclassified non-coding RNA, 328 nt
Filed under: soil metagenome
Description: partial contains 5.8S ribosomal RNA, internal transcribed spacer 2, and large subunit ribosomal RNA
Rfam family: 5.8S ribosomal RNA (bases 1-120)
Source: RNAcentral